CGUGGGGAGCAGACAGGAAUUAGAUACCCUGGUAGUCCACGCUUGUAAACGAUGUCGACUUGGAGGUUGUGCCCUUGAGGCGUGGCUUCCGGAGCUAACGCGUUAAGUCGACCGCCUGGGGAGUACGGCCGCAAGGUUAAAACUCAAAUGAAUUGACGGGGGCCCGCACAAGCGGUGGAGCAUGUGGUUUAAUUCGAUGCAACGCGAAGAACCUUACCUACUCUUGACAUCCAGAGAAUUCGCUAGAGAUAGCUUAGUGCCUUCGGGAACUCUGAGACAGGUGCUGCAUGGCUGUCGUCAGCUCGUGUUGUGAAAUGUUGGGUUAAGUCCCGCAACGAGCGCAACCCUUAUCCUUUGUUGCCAGCGAGUCAUGUCGGGAACUCAAAGGAGACUGCCGGUGAUAAACCGGAGGAAGGUGGGGAUGACGUCAAGUCAUCAUGGCCCUUACGAGUAGGGCUACACACGUGCUACAAUGGCAUAUACAAAGAGAAGCGAACUCGCGAGAGCAAGCGGACCUCAUAAAGUAUGUCGUAGUCCGGAUUGGAGUCUGCAACUCGACUCCCUGAAGUUCGGGAAUCGCUAGUAAUCGUAGAUCAGAAUGCUACGGUGAAUACGUUCCCGGGCCUUGUACACACCGCCCGUCACACCAUGGGAGUGGGUUGCAAAAGAAGUAGGUAGCUUAACCUUCGGGAGGGCGCUUACCACUUUGUGAUUCAUGACUGGGGUGAAGUCGUAACAAGGUAACCGUAA
RNAcentral lists this ribosomal RNA (750 nucleotides) under uncultured bacterium. RNAcentral's name for it is "bacterial SSU rRNA". It matches the Rfam family "Bacterial small subunit ribosomal RNA", at positions 760 to 1505 of the family's 1533-position model. The record is from RNAcentral.